CACACAUGCAAGUCGAGCGGAGAAUGCGAGAUGUUUACAGUGAGCAUUCUUAGCGGCGGACGGGUGAGUAACACGUGGGUAACCUGCCUCAGAGUGGGGGAUAGCCUUUCGAAAGGAAGAUUAAUACCGCAUAAGCUUGUAGCAUCGCAUGGUGCAGCAAGAAAAGGAGCAAUCCGCUCUGAGAUGGACCCGCGGCGCAUUAGCUAGUUGGUGAGGUAACGGCUCACCAAGGCCACGAUGCGUAGCCGACCUGAGAGGGUGAUCGGCCACAUUGGAACUGAGACACGGUCCAGACUCCUACGGGAGGCAGCAGUGGGGAAUAUUGCACAAUGGGCGAAAGCCUGAUGCAGCAACGCCGCGUGAGUGAUGAAGGCUUUCGAGUCGUAAAGCUCUUUAAUCAGGGAUGAUAAUGACAGUACCUGAAAAACAAGCCACGGCUAACUACGUGCCAGCAGCCGCGGUAAUACGUAGGUGGCGAGCGUUGUCCGGAAUUACUGGGCGUAAAGGAUGCGUAGGUGGAUAUUUAAGUGGGAUGUGAAAUCCCCGGGCUCAACCCGGGAACUGCAUUCCAAACUGGGUAUCUAGAGUGCAGGAGAGGAAAGCGGAAUUCCUAGUGUAGCGGUGAAAUGCGUAGAUAUUAGGAGGAACACCAGUGGCGAAGGCGGCUUUCUGGACUGUAACUGACACUGAGGCAUGAAAGCGUGGGUA
This 708-nucleotide ribosomal RNA is filed under the name uncultured bacterium. RNAcentral's name for it is "bacterial SSU rRNA". It matches the Rfam family "Bacterial small subunit ribosomal RNA", at positions 50 to 767 of the family's 1533-position model. The record is from RNAcentral.